UACAGAGGGUGCGAGCGUUAAUCGGAAUUACUGGGCGUAAAGCGCGCGUAGGCGGCUUUGCAAGCCGGAUGUGAAAUCCCCGGGCUUAACCUGGGAACUGCAUUCGGGACUGCAUUGCUAGAGUAUGGGAGAGGGAAGUGGAAUUUCAGGUGUAGCGGUGAAAUGCGUAGAUAUCUGAAGGAAUAUCAGUGGCGAAAGCGACUUCCUGGACCAAUACUGACGCUCAUGUGCGAAAGCGUGGGGAGCAAACAGG
RNAcentral lists this ribosomal RNA (253 nucleotides) under uncultured bacterium. RNAcentral describes it as "partial 16S ribosomal RNA". It matches the Rfam family "Bacterial small subunit ribosomal RNA", at positions 524 to 776 of the family's 1533-position model. The record is from RNAcentral.